This 516-nucleotide ribosomal RNA is filed under the name uncultured Bacillota bacterium. RNAcentral describes it as "bacterial SSU rRNA". It matches the Rfam family "Bacterial small subunit ribosomal RNA", at positions 168 to 688 of the family's 1533-position model. Lineage: Bacteria; Bacillati; Bacillota. The record is from RNAcentral.
ACCGGAUAGGACGAAAGUUUAAAGGUGCUUCGGCACCACUGAUGGAUGAGCCUGCGGCGCAUUAGCUAGUUGGUAGGGUAAAGGCCUACCAAGGCGACGAUGCGUAGCCGACCUGAGAGGGUGAACGGCCACACUGGGACUGAGACACGGCCCAGACUCCUACGGGAGGCAGCAGUAGGGAAUCUUCGGCAAUGGGCGAAAGCCUGACCGAGCAACGCCGCGUGAAUGAUGAAGGCCUUCGGGUUGUAAAAUUCUGUUAUAAGGGAAGAAUGGCUCUAGUAGGAAAUGGCUAGAGUGUGACGGUACCUUAUGAGAAAGCCACGGCUAACUACGUGCCAGCAGCCGCGGUAAUACGUAGGUGGCGAGCGUUAUCCGGAAUUAUUGGGCGUAAAGAGCGCGCAGGUGGUUGAUUAAGUCUGAUGUGAAAGCCCACGGCUUAACCGUGGAGGGUCAUUGGAAACUGGUCAACUUGAGUGCAGAAGAGGGAAGUGGAAUUCCAUGUGUAGCGGUGAAAUG